GCGGGCGUAGCUCACCGGGUAGAGCGUCAGCCUUCCAAGCUGAAGGUCGCGGGUUCAAGUCCCGUCGCCCGCUCCA
Molecule: transfer RNA, 76 nt
Filed under: bacterium
Lineage: Bacteria
Also listed under: 1 other name
Description: tRNA-Gly
Rfam family: tRNA
About the family: Transfer RNA (tRNA) molecules are approximately 80 nucleotides in length.
Source: RNAcentral